This 472-nucleotide long non-coding RNA is filed under the name Equus caballus (horse). RNAcentral describes it as "lncRNA (ENSECAG00000031077.2)". The record is from RNAcentral. Lineage: Eukaryota; Metazoa; Chordata; Mammalia; Perissodactyla; Equidae.
CCACUUUCUAGAGGCUGCAGCAUUCCUUGGCUCAUGGUCCUGUUCCUCCAUUUUCAAAGCCAGCAAUGAGUUAUGUCCUGCGGAAAGAGACUAAGUUACUGAGGAACUGUGGAAGUCAGUGUCAUAUAAAAUAUCAGAAUCGCAUCAAAGGACACAUAGGAUUCAAGACAUCAUAUCACAACUGUUUCGAGGCCUAGUGAGAUGGGAAUUAGAGAUAGAGUACUGGUUGCCAAGUUCAUCCGAAGUACACCUGCAAGUAAUAAUUGGAUCCACCUUGAACUCUUUAAUAGAUUGUGAGCUCCUAUUCAGCAGGGAUUUAAUAGGGAGAAUCCUUUGAAGUUUGGUUUGAAGGCAAAUCCCAACUUUAGCUGAAGCUGUUUAUAAGAUGCCAACCUUUCCUGAGCAACUAAAUUUUAACACCACCCUCUCAGGCUGUGUGUCUAAAUGAAGAUCCAGGAUUACAUUUUAAUAG